AGAGCGAACGCUGGCGGCAGGCCUAACACAUGCAAGUCGAACGGACCCUUCGGGGUUAGUGGCGGACGGGUGAGUAACACGUGGGAACGUGCCUUUUGGUUCGGAAUAGCUCCUGGAAACGGGUGGUAAUGCCGAAUGUGCCCUUCGGGGGAAAGAUUUAUCGCCAUUAGAGCGGCCCGCGUCUGAUUAGCUAGUUGGUGAGGUAAAGGCUCACCAAGGCUACGAUCAGUAGCUGGUCUGAGAGGAUGACCAGCCACAUUGGGACUGAGACACGGCCCAAACUCCUACGGGAGGCAGCAGUGGGGAAUCUUGCGCAAUGGGCGAAAGCCUGACGCAGCCAUGCCGCGUGAAUGAUGAAGGUCUUAGGAUUGUAAAAUUCUUUCACCGGGGACAUAAUGACGGUACCCGGAGAAGAAGCCCCGGCUAACUCGUGCCAGCAGCCGC
RNAcentral lists this ribosomal RNA (444 nucleotides) under uncultured soil bacterium. Its description in RNAcentral is "bacterial SSU rRNA". It matches the Rfam family "Bacterial small subunit ribosomal RNA", at positions 26 to 518 of the family's 1533-position model. The record is from RNAcentral.